This 461-nucleotide ribosomal RNA is filed under the name uncultured bacterium. Its description in RNAcentral is "bacterial SSU rRNA". It matches the Rfam family "Bacterial small subunit ribosomal RNA", at positions 32 to 521 of the family's 1533-position model. The record is from RNAcentral.
AAUCAACGCUGGCGGCGUGCCUAACACAUGCAAGUCGCACGAGAAAGUGGAGCAAUCCAUGAGUACAGUGGCGCACGGGUGAGUAACACGUGAAUAAUCUACCUUCGAGUGGGGAAUAACUGAGAGAAAUCUUAGCUAAUACCGCAUAACACUUACGAGUCAAAGCAGCAAUGCGCUUGAAGAGGAGUUCGCGGCAGAUUAGUUAGUUGGCGGGGAAUGGCCCACCAAGACGAUGAUCUGUAUCCGGCCUGAGAGGGCGCACGGACACACUGGAACUGAAACACGGUCCAGACUCCUACGGGAGGCAGCAGUGGGGAAUUUUGCGCAAUGGGGGAAACCCUGACGCAGCAACGCCGCGUGGAGGAUGAAGCCCCUUGGGGGUGUAAACUCCUUUCGAUAGGGAAGAUAAUGACGGUACCUAUAGAAGAAGCCCCGGCUAACUUCGUGCCAGCAGCCGCGGU